This 1343-nucleotide ribosomal RNA is filed under the name uncultured bacterium. Its description in RNAcentral is "16S ribosomal RNA". It matches the Rfam family "Bacterial small subunit ribosomal RNA", at positions 28 to 1378 of the family's 1533-position model. The record is from RNAcentral.
GACGAACGCUGUUGGCGUGCUUAACACAUGCAAGUCGAACGGAAAGGCCCUGCUUUUGUGGGGUGCUCGAGUGGCGAACGGGUGAGUAACACGUGAGUAACCUGCCCUUGACUUUGGGAUAACUUCAGGAAACUGGGGCUAAUACCGGAUAGGAGCUCCUGCUGCAUGGUGGGGGUUGGAAAGUUUCGGCGGUUGGGGAUGGACUCGCGGCUUAUCAGCUUGUUGGUGGGGUAGUGGCUUACCAAGGCUUUGACGGGUAGCCGGCCUGAGAGGGUGACCGGCCACAUUGGGACUGAGAUACGGCCCAGACUCCUACGGGAGGCAGCAGUGGGGAAUAUUGCACAAUGGGCGGAAGCCUGAUGCAGCAACGCCGCGUGCGGGAUGACGGCCUUCGGGUUGUAAACCGCUUUCGCCUGUGACGAAGCGUGAGUGACGGUAAUGGGUAAAGAAGCACCGGCUAACUACGUGCCAGCAGCCGCGGUGAUACGUAGGGUGCGAGCGUUGUCCGGAUUUAUUGGGCGUAAAGGGCUCGUAGGUGGUUGAUCGCGUCGGAAGUGUAAUCUUGGGGCUUAACCCUGAGCGUGCUUUCGAUACGGGUUGACUUGAGGAAGGUAGGGGAGAAUGGAAUUCCUGGUGGAGCGGUGGAAUGCGCAGAUAUCAGGAGGAACACCAGUGGCGAAGGCGGUUCUCUGGGCCUUUCCUGACGCUGAGGAGCGAAAGCGUGGGGAGCGAACAGGCUUAGAUACCCUGGUAGUCCACGCUGUAAACGGUGGGUACUAGGUGUGGGGUCCAUUCCACGGGUUCCGUGCCGUAGCUAACGCUUUAAGUACCCCGCCUGGGGAGUACGGCCGCAAGGCUAAAACUCAAAGGAAUUGACGGGGCCCCGCACAAGCGGCGGAGCAUGCGGAUUAAUUCGAUGCAACGCGUAGAACCUUACCUGGGUUUGACAUGGAUCGGGAGUGCUCAGAGAUGGGUGUGCCUCUUUUGGGGUCGGUUCACAGGUGGUGCAUGGCUGUCGUCAGCUCGUGUCGUGAGAUGUUGGGUUAAGUCCCGCAACGAGCGCAACCCUUGUUCACUGUUGCCAGCACGUUAUGGUGGGGACUCAGUGGAGACCGCCGGGGUCAACUCGGAGGAAGGUGGGGAUGACGUCAAGUCAUCAUGCCCCUUAUGUCCAGGGCUUCACGCAUGCUACAAUGGCUGGUACAGAGAGUGGCGAGCCUGUGAGGGUGAGCGAAUCUCGGAAAGCCGGUCUCAGUUCGGAUUGGGGUCUGCAACUCGACCUCAUGAAGUCGGAAUCGCUAGUAAUCGCAGAUCAGCAACGCUGCGGUGAAUACGUUCCCGGG